RNAcentral lists this ribosomal RNA (466 nucleotides) under uncultured bacterium. RNAcentral's name for it is "partial 16S ribosomal RNA". It matches the Rfam family "Bacterial small subunit ribosomal RNA", at positions 28 to 507 of the family's 1533-position model. The record is from RNAcentral.
GAUGAACGCUGGCGGCGUGCUUAACACAUGCAAGUCGAACGGAAAGGCUCCUGCUUGCAGGGGUACUCGAGUGGCGAACGGGUGAGUAACACGUGGGUGAUCUGCCCAGCACUUCGGGAUAAGCCUGGGAAACUGGGUCUAAUACCGGAUAGGACGAUGGUUUGGAUGCCAUUGUGGAAAGUUUUUUCGGUGUGGGAUGAGCUCGCGGCCUAUCAGCUUGUUGGUGGGGUAAUGGCCUACCAAGGCGUCGACGGGUAGCCGGCCUGAGAGGGUGUACGGCCACAUUGGGACUGAGAGACGGCCCAGACUCCUACGGGAGGCAGCAGUGGGGAAUAUUGCACAAUGGGCGCAAGCCUGAUGCAGCGACGCCGCGUGGGGGAUGACGGCCUUCGGGUUGUAAACUCCUUUCGCUAGGGACGAAGCGCAAGUGACGGUACCUGGAGAAGAAGCACCGGCUAACUACGUG